RNAcentral lists this ribosomal RNA (434 nucleotides) under uncultured bacterium. RNAcentral describes it as "partial 16S ribosomal RNA". It matches the Rfam family "Bacterial small subunit ribosomal RNA", at positions 29 to 507 of the family's 1533-position model. The record is from RNAcentral.
AGCGAACGCUGGCGGCAGGCCUAACACAUGCAAGUCGAACGAACCUUUCGGGGUUAGUGGCGGACGGGUGAGUAACACGUGGGAACGUGCCUUUAGGUUCGGAAUAACUCAGGGAAACUUGUGCUAAUACCGAAUGUGCCCUUCGGGGGAAAGAUUUAUCGCCUUAAGAGCGGCCCGCGUCAGAUUAGCUAGUUGGUUGAGGUAAUGGCUCACCAAGGCGACGAUCAGUAGCUGGUCUGAGAGGAUGAUCAGCCACAUUGGGACUGAGACACGGCCCAAACUCCUACGGGAGGCAGCAGUGGGGAAUCUUGCGCAAUGGGCGAAAGCCUGACGCAGCCAUGCCGCGUGAAUGAUGAAGGUCUUAGGAUUGUAAAAUUCUUUCACCGGGGACGAUAAUGACGGUACCCGGAGAAGAAGCCCCGGCUAACUUCGUG